AUGAAGUUUCUUGCAGAAUUUGCAGGACCGGCCAGAGUUGGGGAAGUUGCAGAGCUGCCGCUGAAGGUACAUUUCGGUGACGCAAGAGAAAGAACUCGAACACAGUCCUCGGUGGGGCAGACCCAAGGCAAGCCCGCAGACUGCAGAGGUGUCGCGCCAGUCGUGCUGAGCUUUGUACGGGGGAAGGUGCAGCAGGCUGAGCCUGGCGCGGUGUUGGACACAGUGGACCGGCGCGGACGCAGGACUCGGAGCUGCCCCAGCCGGACCUGCCCGCCGUCGGCUCGGGUCGCGCCGGCUGUGCAGAGUGCAGUGGGCCGGGUGAGGUCGCCGGCCCAACACCGCCCUCCGCGCCUGCUGCGCUGGGAUUUCGUUGAGAAAAUCGAGCAGACGCGGAGGAAGGGGUCAGGAAGGAUAUGAAACGGGAACCCUUGCGAAUUCCGGCCAGCGCUAGAAUGGUGCAGAUCAGUGCAUCUGUGGCGCAUCCUUCUAAAAAUCGACUGGGGUAAACAAGAUCAAUACAUUUUUUUAAAAGGUCUAAAGCAAAAGGCGCAUUACCUCCUCACUCACCUGUUCUGCUUUCCUUGCCUCCCUCCACUGAGAUCUGAAACUUUUCCUUAAUUGUUUUUAUUCACUGCAGCAAGUUUUAAUGAAAGCAUAUGCAUCUGAAGCUUGAGUCACAACCAUAGAUUUAUUGUGAGGUGACAGCAUGUCAACAGCAUAUUUUCACAGAUGAGGGACAGGAUUAUCCUCCAGUCGUGCCUAGAUUAAGGGCAACCACAGAAAUGGAAAUGCGUGCCCGAGGUGCGGACACCGGCUCCUGCAUGUGAGACACAUACACUCACUGUCACAUGACCACUGCCUAUUAAAAUUUGUAAUACCUAAAUACUAUUGCAAAAACAAAAGUUGCUUUUCUUCUCUGUAAUUAAAUCUAAUUUGUUAAUUGUCUUCCUCUUGCAAUGUUGUUUUCAUCUUAUGAGGCGACAUGUUAUUAUUUUGUCUGCUUAAUAAUAUUAUUUACAAAUUAAUACUGUAGAUUACAUUAGCGGAACAUAUAAUUAGAUGUUUGAUUUAAUUUGUAUCAUUUAUUCAGAUAAAACAGAAAGCCUAUCUGCAGGAUGGAUUUGACAAGGGGAGUUGAAGAGUGGGUUCUGUUCUAAUACCUCAGCUUAGUGAAGCUACCUGGCUCUCCAUCCACAAAGCACACUUUUACCUGAGGUGCAUUUGGUACUUUAUCAUGUGCUUAUUUACCUAGCCAUUUAAUACAGAAAAAGUAUUCAAGUAUUACAGCUCUAUUUUCUGUCUCCUUUCAGGCUUUCCCCCUCAAAUCAAAGUUCUUGCCACUGGCUUUCACUCCCUUCUCUCUGGUUCCUCCUCCACCCCCAACUUUUGUUUUGGGUCCUUGCCAUUAAAUCCGGCAUGAUUUUGUGUCUUUAAUGCUGUGACAAGUGACCGCUAAUUGGUUCUCACUUGAGCAAAGAUAUUACCAUACUAAUAUUAUUAUUGGUAAGAAGAGGUAAUUGAUAACACCACCUGCCACUCUGGGGCAGUCACAAUGAUAAAUGUUUCCAUCAACAGGAAAUCUGUGCUUGGUGUACCACAGCCCAAUGCAAACAGCAUGUCAAGUGCCAAUUAUAAAGAUGUUGCUUUUCUGUUACAUUGUGGGGGCGCUAGGAAACAUGGAGCCCCAAAUUAUAUUUAUGGCUUUUUGAAAAUGCUUUUCCAAGCUUCUUGCUCACCCACUUGAAGAUAACUUUCCCCUUUAAAAAACAAAAAAUGUUCUCCUUAAAUAAACCAAUACACAACUAACUGCCCCGCCCA
RNAcentral lists this long non-coding RNA (1818 nucleotides) under Canis lupus dingo (dingo). RNAcentral's name for it is "lncRNA (ENSCAFG00020015093.1)". The record is from RNAcentral. Lineage: Eukaryota; Metazoa; Chordata; Mammalia; Carnivora; Canidae.